UAGGGAAUUUUCGGCAAUGGGGGGAACCCUGACCGAGCAACGCCGCGUGAAGGAAGAAGGAAUUCGUUCUGUAAACUUCUGUUAUAAAGGAAGAAAGACGGAUGGAGGAAAUGACAUCCGAGUGACGGUACUUUAUGAGAAAGCCACGGCUAACUACGUGCC
This 162-nucleotide ribosomal RNA is filed under the name uncultured bacterium. RNAcentral's name for it is "partial 16S ribosomal RNA". It matches the Rfam family "Bacterial small subunit ribosomal RNA", at positions 355 to 509 of the family's 1533-position model. The record is from RNAcentral.